AAUAAAAAAGCAGCAGGGAUGAGUGAGC
This 28-nucleotide non-coding RNA is filed under the name Cricetulus griseus (Chinese hamster). The record is from RNAcentral. Lineage: Eukaryota; Metazoa; Chordata; Mammalia; Rodentia; Cricetidae.